AGUGAACGCUGGCGGUAGGCCUAACACAUGCAAGUCGAACGGCAGCACAGUAAGAGCUUGCUCUUACGGGUGGCGAGUGGCGGACGGGUGAGGAAUACAUCGGAAUCUACUUUUUCGUGGGGGAUAACGUAGGGAAACUUACGCUAAUACCGCAUACGACCUACGGGUGAAAGCAGGGGCUCUUCGGACCUUGCGCGAUUGAAUGAGCCGAUGUCGGAUUAGCCAGUUGGCGGGGUAAAGGCCCACCAAGGCGACGAUCCGUAGCUGGUCUGAGAGGAUGAUCAGCCACACUGGAACUGAGACACGGUCCAGACUCCUACGGGAGGCAGCAGUGGGGAAUAUUGGACAAUGGGCGCAAGCCUGAUCCAGCCAUACCGCGUGAGUGAAGAAGGCCUUCGGGUUGUAAAGCCCUUUUGUUGGGAAAGAAAAGCAGCAGGUUAAUACCCCGCUGUUCUGACGGUACCCAAAGAAUAAGCACCGGCUAACUUCGUG
This 492-nucleotide ribosomal RNA is filed under the name uncultured bacterium. RNAcentral describes it as "partial 16S ribosomal RNA". It matches the Rfam family "Bacterial small subunit ribosomal RNA", at positions 29 to 507 of the family's 1533-position model. The record is from RNAcentral.